AAAUUAAUACUUAGAUACUAGUAAAUCUUGUACAAAUCUACGACCUGGUGCAGUGCCAACUAUAUUUGAACAAGUUUCUGAGGAUGAAGAAUUAUGUUCACCUCCAAUAAAACGAGUUAAAACUUUGCUUCCAGUGCUUCGUGAGAUUCAAAAUGUUACAGAAAAUUUGCCAGGACCUUCAAAUGUUGAUGUCUUGAAACCACAAACAGUCGAAAAGGUAGUGGAAUCACUGAAGAAGAAGAUUUUAACAAAAAAUAAACAGAUCAAAGCAUUGCGUCAGCAACGCAUCCGUUUGAAACGUAAAGUUGCAAAGUUUUCUAAUAUUAUUGCUGAACUGAAAGAUAAAUUAAAUCAAGAAGAUAUACAUAUUUUAAACAAUAUACCGGGAAAUAAUAAAGAUUUUCUGGUGAGGUAUUUAAAAAAAUCCCGUGGUAGUACUUUAGACAAAUCGUAUUCAGCCGAACUACGGUCAUUUGCCCUCCAAUUAAAUUUUAACUCCCCCAGGGCAUAUAAUUUUGUACGAAGUACAUUCAAUACUACGUUUAGGUUUAUGACAGUAGCUUAAGCAAAUAUAAAGGCUAUCAAGAAAAGAGCGUAUUUGUUUAUUAAAGGCCGGCAAAGCACCUGUAAGUGAUUUUAUAUUAAUUUACGAUGUAAACACAAAUUUAAAGACACUAAUUUGUCCAAUAGAAAUUAUUUAAAAAAGUUGUGUUGUUUCAAAAUAAAUAAUUGUUAAAAAUCUGGUUUUUAUUGUUUUAUUUACACAUUGGUACAUACAUCGUAGAAGCCGUACGCUACGAGAAUUUUUGGGAAGUA
This is a long non-coding RNA of Colias croceus (clouded yellow), 816 nucleotides long. RefSeq lists it as uncharacterized. NCBI's taxonomy places the organism in Eukaryota, Metazoa, Arthropoda, Insecta, Lepidoptera, Pieridae. The record is from RefSeq and is a predicted model, not a curated record. The transcript has 3 exons.